UACGGAGGGAGCUAGCGUUAUUCGGAAUUACUGGGCGUAAAGCGCACGUAGGCGGCUUUGUAAGUUAGAGGCGAAAGCCUGGAGCUCAACUCCAGAAUUGCCUUUAAGACUGCAUCGCUUGAAUCCAGGAGAGGUGAGUGGAAUUCCGAGUGUAGAGGUGAAAUUCGUAGAUAUUCGGAAGAACACCAGUGGCGAAGGCGGCUCACUGGACUGGUAUUGACGCUGAGGUGCGAAAGCGUGGGGAGCAAACAGG
Molecule: ribosomal RNA, 253 nt
Filed under: uncultured bacterium
Lineage: Bacteria
Description: partial 16S ribosomal RNA
Rfam family: Bacterial small subunit ribosomal RNA
Source: RNAcentral